CUGAAUCAGCGGCAGGAGUCCUGGAUGAUCCCCCGGUCGUGCGGCCCCUCCCCCGCUCCUUCCCGACCCGCGCCGCAGCGAUCGCAGACUCUAGGGGAGGGAGCGAUGUUCUCUCCUACCGUUCCAGCGCCUCCGAGGGUGAAUCAUUAAAAUAUACAUCCACUCCAGUAUACCAAGAAGCUCAAUUCCACAAGACUGAGGUCUAUGCUGACUCCAUCUUCUGUUCAGAAUAUUAUUCAGCCACACCACUGUUGCUUCAUCCCAAGACAUUCAUCACCUCUUCCUUCUGAGUAUUCUUUCUGUGGCUAAUGACGAUCGUGUCAAGAGAUUGCAGUCCUGGAUUCUCUGAGACCAGGAAAGACGUCUUACCAGCAGCAGCAGUGCAGACAGCCCUGCCAGCCGCCUCCUGUGUGCCCACCUAAAUGUCCUGGGCUGUGCCCACCACCAAGGUUCCCAGAGUCUUGUCCACUUCAUGCCCACCUGUGCAGCCACGCCCACCUGUCAGCAGAAAUGUUCACCCAAGAGCAAGUAACAGCACCAGAAUUCAUCAGGAUCAUGAAGUGACAGGAAAAGUUAUCUUUUAGACUCUGAACUCAAUCUUCCUUUUGAACUGUGUCAUGAUGACAGAUGGCAUCUUGACAUUUCCCUAACCCUCGACUUCUCACCUGCUUGAAAUGACUGUUGUCACAGAGAACACUUUGUUCCUGAAGUUGACAUCACCCUGUUGGAAGCCAUGUCCCUGCCUCCGGCAUGUGGCUAAGAUACAGUAAUGCUCAGCAAUGCCA
Molecule: long non-coding RNA, 785 nt
Filed under: Equus asinus (donkey)
Lineage: Eukaryota; Metazoa; Chordata; Mammalia; Perissodactyla; Equidae
Description: lncRNA (ENSEASG00005029595.1)
Source: RNAcentral